This 520-nucleotide ribosomal RNA is filed under the name uncultured Glomus. RNAcentral's name for it is "SSU rRNA". It matches the Rfam family "Eukaryotic small subunit ribosomal RNA", at positions 569 to 1092 of the family's 1831-position model. The record is from RNAcentral. Lineage: Eukaryota; Fungi; Glomeromycota; Glomeromycetes; Glomerales; Glomeraceae.
AGCAGCCGCGGUAAUUCCAGCUCCAAUAGCGUAUAUUAAAGUUGCUGCAGUUAAAAAGCUCGUAGUUGAAUUUCGGGAUCAAUAUGUUGGUCGUGCCUCGGUACGUACUAGCUUAUUGGUUUCUUCCUUCUGACGAACCAUAAUGUCAUUUAUUUGGUGUUAUGGGGAAUCAGGACUGUUACUUUGAAAAAAUUAGAGUGUUUAAAGCAGGCUCACGCUUGAAUACAUUAGCAUGGAAUAAUGAAAUAGGACGUUUGAUUCUAUUUUGUUGGUUUCUAGGAUCGACGUAAUGAUUAAUAGGGAUAGUUGGGGGCAUUAGUAUUCAAUUGUCAGAGGUGAAAUUCUUGGAUUUAUUGAAGACUAACUACUGCGAAAGCAUUUGCCAAGGAUGUUUUCAUUAAUCAAGAACGAAAGUUAGGGGAUCGAAGACGAUCAGAUACCGUCGUAGUCUUAACCAUAAACUAUGCCGACUAGGGAUCGGAUGAUGUUAAUUUUUUAAUGACUCGUUUGGCACCUUACG